GUUUUUUCCUGCAAUGGCGAUUGAAUUGACUUGUAUUGUUCGUCUUCAUCCCAAUGGGAGCUCGCUGCUCUAAAUUAGGAUUUUGCUGGUGGCCUUCCAACCUCAUGAAACUGCCAACGUCCCUUAUUCCUCUGAUGUUGAGAAAUGUGGAGAAAAUGAGAGGAUGAACCUGCCAGCAUUUAAAGAAUGCAGUUUAGAUGAGUUGAAGGUGGCGACUUCAGGAUUCUCAGUUGAAAACUUUUUAUCAGAACAUGGAGAGAAAGCUCCCAAUGUUGUCUACAAUUGGCAGCUUGAAGAUGACGGCUCAUGGAUUGCUGUCAAACGUUUCAAUAAGUCGAUUCUCGGCAAAUUCCCGAUUAUUAUUACUUCUUUUCAGCAAGUCCCCAGCUAUAGUGUUUCACAAAUGUGAUAUUAUCUUAUUUAUGUACGUGCCUUGAUAUCAGCCAUUGUACUUAGUUAGCCAUGAGUAUGGUAGAUGUUAUGCAGAUUUAAGAUUUGUUGUAUGCAAUUUGUAGGUUGAUUAAGUGAGGAAACUUAUUGUAGGCUGAUGUGAAUUGAAACCUUGAUUAUACUGUUGUUAUACCUUUGUUUAAGGUCACAUGGGAUGAAGUAUCUUGCUUCUACCAAUAAUAUAAAGUCAAUUUCAUGUU
Coffea eugenioides is the source of this 650-nucleotide long non-coding RNA. RefSeq lists it as uncharacterized. The record is from RefSeq and is a predicted model, not a curated record. The transcript is spliced from 3 exons. Lineage: Eukaryota; Viridiplantae; Streptophyta; Magnoliopsida; Gentianales; Rubiaceae.